Molecule: RNA transcript, 4124 nt
Organism: Lates calcarifer (barramundi perch)
Lineage: Eukaryota; Metazoa; Chordata; Actinopteri; Centropomidae
Exons: 5
Source: RefSeq, a predicted model, not a curated record
UUUCACCCCGACAGCUGCAUUACCAAACUUCUUGUAAGGAACGCUUGUGUCACAUACUUAACUAGAUGAAUGCUCAGUUUCAUUUACUAGGAAACCGUAACUUAAGGGGAGUUAGGACUGCACUCACAGAAACACACAGACCAGCAGCAGACUAAUGCAGGAUGAUGAGGAUCUCAGGAAGAGUCACAAGUUGCGGUGUUGCUCUGUUCCUUGUCCUGACCUCUGUGUCAGCUGUACAAAGGCUCAACUCAAUCAAUGAUUUGAAGAGAAUCAACUUUGGCCAAUCUGUGCCCAAGCACAGUCUUCUGCUGCUCCACUGGUUUGCCAACGAGGUUGAUAUUGACAGAAACAAUGUCAUACGGUUGACCUUUGAUCCAGACAAUGAAGAUUAUGGUUCACAUCAUUAUAGCAACUAUGAGGGAUUGUUGGACCCACUGCCUAAUGGAAAUACACACCAGUACUACACUGUUGGCAAUCUCAAUCAAGGGACCUCUGUGCAACUUCCAAAUUAUGUCACCCAUUCUCGGAGAGAGUACGAAGGAGAAAACAUGGACCGGAUCAUAUUCAGAGUCAGGGAGCCGCACACAGGACAGCGAGUUCUGCAGAGGAUAGACCGAGUGUUUAUCACACAACAUUAUGAAUAUCAGGAAACAGAUUAUGAUCCAGAUCAUACCUACGAGAUCACUACUGACCUCUUAAUGCAGAUCAGACAGUUUUCAGUCUCUGUGGGAGAGGACCAGUCAUCACUUAUGCAUCUCAGAAACUGUUACAGAAGUAAUGCUGAUUUAUGGCGCAUCAGAAACACAUGGCGUGACCUUGCUUGUCUUGGACUGUUCUUGUUUAUUGUGCUCCAAGAAAAUCACACCUCUCAACAACGCAACAACAGACCUCAGAGUGCAGCAAAAGGAAACACACAACCAGAUUUUGUUGUCAAAAUCCCACAAGAGAAACAAAAUCACUGCCCUGACACUUGCUAUGCUUGCUGUGAGACCUGUCUUAUUGUUGUUCUUAUUUUAUUCAUUUCAUUAUAUGCCAUUGGCUUUUUUUUUAUCAAGUAGGGGAAUUAGAUAAUAAGAAAUGAGGGCAAAAAUGUUCCUAAAUAUUGUCUAAACAAAGUGUGAUGGUAACACUUUUCAGUGAUGAUGACCACCAGGAAGCCAGCAGGACUUUGAAGAUUAAUGUGAUUCAGGCAGUUAUGACACCUCAGUAAACCUGGACAAUGGCAAAUGGGUUGUUCUGUUGUUCUGCUGUAUGCAUUUAUUUUUUUUACUUCCAUGUUCAAUUGAUUGUGUACAAUUUUAGCUUAUUUUGUAAAUGUGGUUCACUUAAUAUUGACAUACAGGGUUAGUAUGGCAUGUUUGUGAUUAAAGACCAAAUACUGAAAAAUCAGUGUUUGCCAUGAAGGGCUCAGAGUCUUCAGGGUUUCAGUUCAGUCCAAUCAGUCAGUCAACUUUAUUUCAGACUAUAGCACCAUAAUAAAAUCUAUCAGUGAUCAGCACAUCUUCAUCACAGAGAAACAAAGAAGUUAUCAGUGAAUGAAGGCAGCAUUUGUUCUGAAUAAAAACCUGCAGAGUCUGACCUCAAUGGCACAGUUUAAGACAUCUACUGUAAAUAACAUUUGAAAGGGUCUUACCUGCCUGGAAAAUUUUAACACUAAAGAUCAAAAACAGGAUGGAAGUUUAAGUUUUAUUAAAAUAAAAAUUACAGUGUUUUUUUUAAAUAUUUUGUAUGUUGUUUUACAGGUUUUGUCUGUUUUGUCAAAUAAUUAUAUUUAGUAAAAUCAUGUGAAAAAGUGUUAAUUUAUGUGCCAAUCAUUAAAAAAUAGGGCAAAACUGUAAAUGAAAAAAAGUGGCAAUGGUUGUUGUAUGACAUUUAAUCAUAAAAUCAUAUAAUUUUUACCAUAUUUCAAUGUGUCAAAAUUAUUGACACAUUGUUUUUUGAUUCAAACUGCUCUAGCCAAACUUCCUGUAACUAGUAGCGACGCUUGUUUUGGUUUUACUUACAAGGAAACCGUAACCUAAGGCGAGUUAAGAGCGCUCUCACACAAACACAGAGAUCGUAUACCUAAGAGUAGCAGACUAACACAGGAUGAUGAGGAUGUCAGGAAGAGUCACAAGUUGCUGUGUUGCUCUGUUCCUUGUCCUGACCUCUGUGUCAGCUGUACAAAGGCUCAACUCAAUCAAUGAUUUGAAGAGAAUCAACUUUGGCCAAUCUGUGCCCAAGCACAGUCUUCUGGAAACGGUAACUUAAGGGGAGUUAAGAGUGUUCUCAAACAAACACAGAGAUCCUAUACCUAACAGCAGCAGACUUAUGCAGGAUGAUGAGGAUGUCAGGAAGAGUCACAAGUUGCUGUGUUGCUCUGUUCCUUGUCCUGACCUCUGUGUCAGCUGUACAAAGGCUCAACUCAAUCAAUGAUUUGAAGAGAAUCAACUUUGGCCAAUCUGUGCCCAAGCACAGUCUUCUGCUGCUCCACUGGUUUGCCAACGCAGUUCACAUCUACAAUGACAAUGUCAUACGGUUGACCUUUGAUCCAGACAAUGGAGAUUAUGGUUCACAUCAUUAUGGCAACUAUGAGGGACUGUUGGACCUGCUGCCUCACGGGUAUGUCAGAUACCAGUACUACACCAUUGGCAAUCUCAAUCAAGACACCUCUGUGCCACUUCCAUCUCAUGUCACCGACCCCCCGUCAGAGUAUGCAGGAUUAAACAGGGACCGGAUCAUAGUAAGAGUCAGGGAACCAAACAGAGGACAACGAGUUUUGCAGAGCAUAGACCGAGUGUUUAUCACACAGCAUUCUGGACAUCAGGGGACAGAUUAUGAUCCAGGUUAUACCUAUGAGAUCACUACUAAUCUCUUAAGACAGAUUAGAGAGUUUUCAGUCUCCAUGGGAGAAAACCACUGGUCACUUACAAAUCUCAGAGACCGUUACAGAAGUAACGCUGAUUUAAGGGAGAUCAGAAACACAUGGGGCGACCUUGCUUGUCUUGGACUAUUGUUGGCUAUUGUGAUCCAGCAAAGGUGCUACAACUAUAAACUUCAGAGUGCAGUGAGAAGAAACACACGACAAAAUCACUCGAAUACUGAUGAUUUCUGUACCUGUAUUGUUGUUUUCUUAAUUUUAUUGUCUUGUGUCAUUUUUGGUGCCAUUUUUUUUUUAUCAGGUUGGAAAUUUAGAUGACAAGAAAUGAUGGAGAGCAAGUAUCAAGCAGUUAUGACAUCUCAGUACACCUGGCCAAUGGCAUUGUUCUAUUGUUUUCUGUAUGCUUUUUUUGCUUCCAUGUUUAAUGAAUAGUGUACAAUACUAGCUUAUUUUGUAAAUGCUGUUCAGUUAAUAUUGAGAUAUAGGCUUAGUAUCACAUGUUUGUAAUUAAAGACCUAUAACUACUGCAGAGUGAUUUGACCUGGAAACGAAAGCUGAUUGUGCACUUCCCUACUGAAGACAGCAGCAAAAUGUUAGUGGGUUUUCUGUAUAGCGUGAAAGGGGUUAACAGCAAUGACUCACUGCUGAUUCAUCCUGUGUCUGAUAGAGAUGAAGAGAAUGUAAAUUGCCCUGAUGGAUAAAUGAAAUAGAAAUGAAAUGAUUUAGGGUCUGUUAUGGACUUCACUGAUAAUCUAUUAGAUAAAAAAUAAAAAUAAAAAAUGGGAAAUUAUUACGUAUUUUACAUAUGGUUUUGUGUUCACUCACUGAAAAUGGUGUGUUUAGGGUCCCAUACUGUAGAAAGUGAGAUUUCCAUGUUUCAUGUUUUUUGAUUAUAAAGCAGGUCUAGGUACCAUAGAAAUACAGUGAAAGUAUCAAAAUGCUCAAUCCACAGGGAAAUGCACGUGGCCUCUAGAAACGGUGUCUCUAAAGUGAGACAAUUUUGCUUUUUAUUUAUCUCUAUUAAGGACUCUUUGUGUUUUUAACGUAAUUCUUCUAUUGAUUGUUGGAUUACUUUUAUUUUGAUUACUUAAAGUUUUCCAUUUUAUCAAUUAUGAUGUAAAGUAAGCACUGAUGUAAAGUGUAGGUGUGUUUCAGCCUAUUCCUUUUUCGGUUAUGCAUUAUGAUACAAUUUGUGAGAAAUUAUCUUUUGUUCUUUGUUUUCAAGAUGCAUAUAACCAAAAUAAUAAAAAUACAUUCAAUUGUU